GACGAACGCUGGCGGCGUGCUUAACACAUGCAAGUCGAACGGAAAGGCCCUGCUUUUGUGGGGUUCUCGAGUGGCGAACGGGUGAGUAACACGUGAGUAACCUGCCCUUGAUUUUGGGAUAACUUCAGGAAACUGGGGCUAAUACCGGAUAGGAGCUCCUGCUGCAUGGUAGGGGUUGGAAAGUUUCGGCGGUUGGGGAUGGACUCGCGGCUUAUCAGCUUGUUGGUGGGGCAGUGGCUUACCAAGGCUUUGACGGGUAGCCGGCCUGAGAGGGUGACCGGCCACAUUGGGACUGAGAUACGGCCCAGACUCCUACGGGAGGCAGCAGUAGGAAAUAUUGCACAAUGGGCGGAAGCCUGAUGCAGCAACGCCGCGUGCGGGAUGACGGCCUUCGGGUUGUAAACCGCUUUCGCCUGUGACGAAGCGUGAGUGACGGUAAUGGGUAAAGAAGCACCGGCUAACUACGUG
RNAcentral lists this ribosomal RNA (468 nucleotides) under uncultured bacterium. RNAcentral describes it as "partial 16S ribosomal RNA". It matches the Rfam family "Bacterial small subunit ribosomal RNA", at positions 28 to 507 of the family's 1533-position model. The record is from RNAcentral.